RNAcentral lists this ribosomal RNA (669 nucleotides) under uncultured marine bacterium. RNAcentral describes it as "bacterial SSU rRNA". It matches the Rfam family "Bacterial small subunit ribosomal RNA", at positions 43 to 707 of the family's 1533-position model. The record is from RNAcentral.
CGGGCCUACACAUGCAAGUCGAGGGGUAACUAGAAAAGCUUGCUUUUUUGAUGACGACCGGCGCACGGGUGCGUAACGCGUAUACAAUCUGCCUUAUACUGGGGUAUAGCCUUUAGAAAUGAAGAUUAAUCCCCCAUAGUCUCUAGCUAUGGCAUCAUAGCUAGAGUAAAGGUUACGGUAUAAGAUGAGUAUGCGUUCUAUUAGUUUGUUGGUGAGGUAACGGCUCACCAAGACUACGAUAGAUAGGGGCCCUGAGAGGGGGAUCCCCCACACUGGUACUGAGACACGGACCAGACUCCUACGGGAGGCAGCAGUGAGGAAUAUUGGACAAUGGAGGCAACUCUGAUCCAGCCAUGCCGCGUGCAGGAAGACUGCCCUAUGGGUUGUAAACUGCUUUUAUAUAGGAAGAAACCUUGGUACGUGUACCAAGCUGACGGUACUAUAAGAAUAAGGAUCGGCUAACUCCGUGCCAGCAGCCGCGGUAAUACGGAGGAUCCAAGCGUUAUCCGGAAUCAUUGGGUUUAAAGGGUCCGUAGGUGGAUAAUUAAGUCAGAGGUGAAAUCUUGCAGCUCAACUGUAAAAUUGCCUUUGAUACUGGUUAUCUUGAGUUAUUAUGAAGUAGUUAGAAUAUGUAAUGUAGUGGUGAAAUGCAUAGAUAUUACAUAGAAU